This 2556-nucleotide long non-coding RNA is filed under the name Taeniopygia guttata (zebra finch). RNAcentral's name for it is "lncRNA (ENSTGUG00000022519.1)". The record is from RNAcentral. Lineage: Eukaryota; Metazoa; Chordata; Aves; Passeriformes; Estrildidae.
ACUGCAGGAGGGAGGAGAAGGAAGGAGGAAAAUAGAAUCAGUCUGCUUUCUGCACAGAUUUACUGCUCGAUCAACUUCCCACGGCACUUCUGGGGUUCUGGACACGGUGUCACUUUGUUUCACCUGUGUCAAGACUUCUGGAAGGUUUUCAGAGCUGGUAGCAGGAGAGAGUUGGUGUCAGUGGCAACUCGGGACACGGGGCAGAGCAGCUGCUUGGGCCAAUUCACGCGUUUUAUUUGUUCUUUUUUUAGCUGUCAGGUUAAUACUUUGUCCUUUAUGAGCACAUCCUGGGCAGGGCCAUGCCUGGAGAAAUCUGCUCUGCACAGACAGGUCGGGUUUAGCCAAGGAAAGAAGAGGAGGUGCCUUCAGAGGGGUCACAGACAGCUCUGCCACGGCCGCUGCCAAGAGAGGUUCCCGCAGUGAAGGACCUGGAGGACAAUCCCUUGUUCCAGCCCUUCUGCAUGGCCAGAACAUUUCAGGUCCAAGGCCUCCCACCUUGCAGCCCCUGGCUCACCUCCCCUCACACAGGAACCAAGCCCUCAGUUCCAAGAAGAGGUGACAAAGAGAGGGAUGUUUCAUCCUUUUCUCCUCGCUUGCACAGAUUCAGGGGCAGGGCAGAACACCCUGCUGCAUGGACAGCCCUCCCUGCACCCCAUUCAUUUUUCCCUGCUGAUCUUCUGUGGAUACAGAGAGCACAAAGAAAAUGUAACAGCUUGGCCAAAGAGCUACUGAACUCCUUGGCCUCACUGCAGAACCAGCAACGCCAAAGCCAGAGGUAAAUUAUGUUUUUUUCUGAGGGGUCUUGUGAUAUCUCUGCAUUUGCUUCAGUACUGGGGAGGAGUUUGACAGCCCUGCUACAAACAAACCAUUUUCUAUAGCAGCUGCUCCCCCAGGCUAUCUCCUCAUGCCUUGCACAACACAGACAGAAAAGCAGAGAGAAAAGACAGAAAAGCAACGUUAGGGCAGAGCAAGAAUUGCAAUUUGGCUUCCUAAGUGCCAAUAGCAGCAACAGCAACAGGACACAGAGGCCUCUUCAGCCUGGGGCCAGCACUGGAUGUGAGCACACAGCAAACAGCUUUGCACUGAUUUCUGGGUUCUGGACGUGUUGAUGUCAGCAGAAGGUGACAGUGGAAGGUGACAGUGGAGGUGUCAGUGCCUUCCUCUGGGGAGGCCACUCUGGCUCCACAGGUGAGUCCCAUCCAAUUCCCACCUCCAUGAGCCAGGUGCUGGCUGGAGCUGGGCACUGGGAGGGCGUGGCACAGCACAGGGUCACUUUGGGGUGAUUUUUCCAAAGAAGGUGCCUAGCCCUAAACACAUUUUAUCCUUCUGAGCUUCCCAGGGAUGUGAACAGAGUCAAAGCCUGUGCUCAGAGCUGGCUGCAAGCAGGACCAGAGCAUGGAGACCCCCUUGUUCUACUGCCAAAACCUUCCUCUUCCCCCAGCCUUGGUGCUUCCCUGUCUUUUAUCAGCACCCGAGCACCCCAGGACAGAGAAACUGCCCAGCUUGAGGGACCCAACCCAACAUUAGUCCCCUUUGGCCCCCUCCAGCUGGAGUCAGGCUGAUGUGUGUGUGAUACUGAACAUCCUCAGGUUAGAAAUUCCAUCUGUCAAGGAUGUCAUCCAGGUGAAUUUUACCAGCCAGGAAAAGGAAAGCUGCCAGGAAAUCACUCCCACUGCAAUCCCACAGCCAUCACAGAUGGCAAGGGGUUGUGCUGGUCAUGUCAAACUGUUUGCCCAGGGAUGUAAGGACAGGAAAAAACAAUGGCUGGUAAUAAAUGAAAUGCUGGAAAGAUUGUAAAGUGAAACGAAGGAAUUUAAGGCAGGGAGUUUAUAUGGCCUAUUUCCUGAUAAAAUCAGACGUUCCAAAGUGUCCCUUCACAGUGUGGCAAGACUGCAGUGAGCCCGAGGCAUUUAUGGGCAGCAGAAUAGGCAGUUUCCCUGAAAAAGGAUAUUUCAGAGACAUGGUUUUAAAGGUUGCUCCAUGGCUCUAUGCCCACUGACACUAGAAGAAACCCUUGAGCCAAAAUGCACAGCAAUCCAGAAGGACCCUUGGGGUUUAUUUAUUAUCCCCUGUUCCCAGUGUGGGAAUGCUGAGUGCAGCAGUCAGGCCUGUCUGCUCUGGGCUGGACACUGCAAACCCACGUUUGAGACACGGUUACCUUUCAAUGUGUUUUUCAAUCUUCUCCCUGUAAUAUACCAGGGAUAACAGCGCAGUGAGGACGGCGUGGCAGACCCUUGGCGACAGAUGCCCUUUAACCAGACUGAUAAAUGCCUUUCCCUUUGAACCAAUCUCCCUCCUCGAGGCAGCACCUUUGCCACGAGGCAGUGACACAGAACAGGCUGUCCCCAAGUCUGCUGCUCCUCCCAGAAAUGUGUCUGUGCUGCCUGCAGCACUCAGGAGAAGCUGGUACCCCUGGAAAGAAGCAGGAGUUCAACUCCAAUGCUUCAACCGGAGUUGUGCUUGUUGCUCCCUCUUAAUUUCUUGUCACGGCUGAAGGUUGAAGCACAGUCCCCACCGGUGCUGCCCCACCGACACUGCCAUGGCUGAGGGCUGCUG